UAUGUAUGAAGAUAUACUGAUAAAGAAUUAUUCUAUUAUUGCAAACUGGCCUUAUUCUCUUUGCUAUUGCAUUUAAGGCCUGAUAAACAUACAUGUGUGUGUCUGUGUGUAUGUGUGUAUGUGUAUGUAAUGGUCAAGUGUUCGCAGGCCGACAUUUCACAUUCCUAA
This 168-nucleotide small RNA is filed under the name Brugia malayi. Its description in RNAcentral is "sRNA Bm16756". Lineage: Eukaryota; Metazoa; Nematoda; Chromadorea; Rhabditida; Onchocercidae. The record is from RNAcentral.